CAGUAGCCACGGUAAUACGUAGGUGGCAAGCGUUGUCCGGAAUUAUUUGGCGUAAAGGGCUCGCAGGCGGUUUCUUAAGUCUGAUGUGAAAGCCCCCGGCUCAACCGGGGAGGGUCAUUGGAAACUGGGAAACUUGAGUGCAGAAGAGGAGAGUGGAAUUCCACGUGUAGCGGUGAAAUGCGUAGAGAUGUGGAGGAACACCAGUGGCGAAGGCGACUCUCUGGUCUGUAACUGACGCUGAGGAGCGAAAGCGUGGGGAGCAAACAGGAUUAGAUACCCCGGUAGUCCCUGUCUCUUAUAC
RNAcentral lists this ribosomal RNA (301 nucleotides) under uncultured bacterium. Its description in RNAcentral is "partial 16S ribosomal RNA". It matches the Rfam family "Bacterial small subunit ribosomal RNA", at positions 509 to 807 of the family's 1533-position model. The record is from RNAcentral.